RNAcentral lists this unclassified non-coding RNA (201 nucleotides) under uncultured fungus. RNAcentral's name for it is "sequence contains ITS1". Lineage: Eukaryota; Fungi. The record is from RNAcentral.
UCGAGUGUGGGUCUUUUCAAAGGCCCGACCUCCCAAUCCUGUGUCUAUCCUACCUCAGCGUUGCUUCGGCGGACCGGUCUCGACCACAACUGGUCUUGACCGCCGGGCCUACGUGGCCGGGAGAGUUCGUCCGCCGAUGGCCAUCACACAAGCUCUGUUCUGAAAAUUGUGUCGUCUAAGAUGAAAUCAUUAAUCAAAACA